Molecule: ribosomal RNA, 397 nt
Filed under: Kurixalus appendiculatus (Philippine flying frog)
Lineage: Eukaryota; Metazoa; Chordata; Amphibia; Anura; Rhacophoridae
Description: partial 12S ribosomal RNA
Rfam family: Bacterial small subunit ribosomal RNA
Source: RNAcentral
CCAUGCCGUAAAAAAUCAACUCACACCCAUAGCGCCUGGGAAUUACGAGCUUCAGCUUAAAACCCAAAGGACUUGACGGUGUCCCACCCAACUAGAGGAGCCUGUCCUGUAAUCGAUGAUCCACGUUUCACCUUACCAUUUUUUGCUUUCUCAGCCUGUAUACCUCCGUCGCAAGCUUACCAUAUGAACGAAUCAAAGUAGGUUUAAGGACUUAACGCCAAUACGUCAGGUCAAGGUGCAGCUUAUAAAAUGGGUAGAGAUGGGCUACAAUUUCUAAACUAGAACAAACGAAAAACUACAUGAAACAUAGUCAUGAAGGAGGAUUUAGCAGUAAAUAAGAAAUAGAGAGUCUUAUUGAACUUGGCCCUGGGAUGUGUACACACCGCCCGUCACCCUC